UGAAGUGGUGUGGUGUUACUGUGUAUGUGUUGAAGCUUUCUGAAAUUGCGUGGUGAUACUUUGUGUGUCAUGGCCAUCUCUACUGCGACAUAUGUUGUGACAUAUCCAGUGUAAUGCCUUGGCUGAAAAAGAAUUCUUGCUGCACAGUGGCUUAGACUCAGCAGUUUGUUCAUGUGUUUAAAUGACAAGCCUGCUGCUCUGCACUUAAUGCAGUGGUGCUGAGUGAGUAGGCACAGUGUUAUGUCAUGAUGCAGAAACAUGGCGAGGGCUGGCAUCAAAAUGGGGCUUGUUUUCCCCCUCUGUGUUACAAAGAACUCGGAGCUGCAGUUUGCCAUUGUUAAGGUAGGUUUAAUUGCCUGACACUGGCUGAUCCUUGGCUGCUGUUUGCCUGCCAUGAAGAUCUCUGUUGGAAAGCUUCACAUUGGGCAAACAUCAUAUUAUGAAGAUGACAUUUAUGCAUCAGCUUUGAUUUGAACAAAUAACUUUGACAUUCAGCAACAAAAGGUCUUUGCUCACUUAAGGUUGCGUGCAAUGUCCAGAAGAAUGAGAAUCUACAGGUCAUUUUGACAGAAUUCAGAACUUCAGUAAAGCCUCAAGCAGUUUUUUUUCUGAGCUUCCAAAUUGUGUGCCUCAGGAAAAAAUGAGCCUGGAAGCAAUUUAUGGAGCUUUUCUAGUCCAACUCUCUCGCCCAGAGCAGGUUAUCUAGAGCAGGUUGCUCAGAACUAUGCCUAGUUGUGUUUUGAAUAUCUGCAAGGCUGGAGACUCCACACCUCUCUGGGCAGCCUAGUCCAGUGUUUGAUCACCUACAAUGUAAAAUGUUUUGUCCUUUAUUUAAUGGAACUGACCUCGGGACCUUUUCUGCCUACAUGAUUUUCAACUGGUCAGCUCCCAGCACAUACUGGUGCACGGGGUUACCCCUCAGGUGCAGGAGAUUCCUGUUAACCCAAUACUCCAGCCUGUCCAGGUACCUCUCAUUGGUAACAAAACCAUCUGGAGUAUCCUGCCAAUUUUUUAUCAUCUGGAAAUGGAAUGGGCAGCCAGUAUUUGAGGUUUGGAAAAGCCACAUAUUUUACCAGUACAGCAUCUGAAACACCACUGUAGUAAGAGUUGAACUGUGGGGUUGAUAGAAUUAUCACAGUUUUUAUGAUCUCAGACCUGUCUUAAGAGCACUUGCAAGAAUCACUGACAUGGUCUUUUCAAAUUCAUCAUUUUCUCGAUUUUUUGGGAAUUUUUUAAAAUGUGGAAGCUUGUGAGCUUUUAAAAAGCCAUAAAAAGAAAUUCAAAUAAGCCUCUUCUACCAAGUGCAUAUAUAAAGUGAGCAAAUUUAAUUAACCUUAUGAUCUUCUCAAUAAAUGUCCCCCCAAAAUAACUGUAAUCUCUUAAUUAAACAGAUAUGGUUGAGUUAAUAACUUUAAAUAUUAUUAUAUCAUUAAAGAGAAAGGAAGGUGUGGUAGUUGAAGUGCUAAUUGAGGAGACUUAAAUUGAGUUCUGAACUUUACUGGGAUUUUUUCUGUGACUUGACACAGACCUGCUAACAGAGAACUGGCAGAGAAAGCCUGAAUCAUUUGCUCACACUUCACACAAUGAGAAGAACCAUAUGGUAGACAUCUUAUGUAGUAAGGGUUCCUAGAAUACUCUUUUAUGUGCUCCCACUCACUGCAAACCUCAAACUCCUUCCAAAACUGAUACCAAAAUCUCUGUCUACAAAAGGUAAUGUUGGUGGUUGUUUCUCCAACUCUGUUCUUGUUAGAUGUUAGUUUAAUAUGGCAUGUAUUUGACAGAGCUAGAUGCAAAAGUGUUGUUGCAGUCUUGCUAGAAUUUUGAGACACCAAAAAGCUUCUGUGCAUGUGCCUUUC
Passer domesticus (house sparrow) is the source of this 1856-nucleotide long non-coding RNA. RefSeq lists it as uncharacterized. The transcript has 3 exons. Lineage: Eukaryota; Metazoa; Chordata; Aves; Passeriformes; Passeridae. The record is from RefSeq and is a predicted model, not a curated record.